GAUGAACGCUGGCGGCGUGCCUAAUACAUGCAAGUCGAGCGAACGGACGAGAAGCUUGCUUCUCUGAUGUUAGCGGCGGACGGGUGAGUAACACGUGGAUAACCUACCUAUAAGACUGGGAUAACUUCGGGAAACCGGAGCUAAUACCGGAUAAUAUUUUGAACCGCAUGGUUCAAAAGUGAAAGACGGUCUUGCUGUCACUUAUAGAUGGAUCCGCGCUGCAUUAGCUAGUUGGUAAGGUAACGGCUUACCAAGGCAACGAUGCAUAGCCGACCUGAGAGGGUGAUCGGCCACACUGGAACUGAGACACGGUCCAGACUCCUACGGGAGGCAGCAGUAGGGAAUCUUCCGCAAUGGGCGAAAGCCUGACGGAGCAACGCCGCGUGAGUGAUGAAGGUCUUCGGAUCGUAAAACUCUGUUAUUAGGGAAGAACAUAUGUGUAAGUAACUGUGCACAUCUUGACGGUACCUAAUCAGAAAGCCACGGCUAACGACG
This 495-nucleotide ribosomal RNA is filed under the name uncultured bacterium. RNAcentral's name for it is "partial 16S ribosomal RNA". It matches the Rfam family "Bacterial small subunit ribosomal RNA", at positions 28 to 505 of the family's 1533-position model. The record is from RNAcentral.